Molecule: ribosomal RNA, 446 nt
Filed under: uncultured bacterium
Lineage: Bacteria
Description: bacterial SSU rRNA
Rfam family: Bacterial small subunit ribosomal RNA
Source: RNAcentral
GGACGGGAUAGGAGAGCUUGCUUUCCUUGAGAGUGGCGCACGGGUGCGUAACACGUAUGUAACCUACCUUUAUCAGGGGGAUAGCCUCUCGAAAGAGAGAUUAAGCCCGCAUAAAAUCACAGUACAGCAUUGUACAAUGAUCAAAUAUUUAUAGGAUAAAGAUGGGCAUGCGGAACAUUAGCUAGUUGGCGAGGUAACGGCUCACCAAGGCUACGAUGUUUAGGGGAUCUGAGAGGAUGACCCCCCACACUGGUACUGAGACACGGACCAGACUCCUACGGGAGGCAGCAGUAAGGAAUAUUGGUCAAUGGGCGGAAGCCUGAACCAGCCAUGCCGCGUGCAGGAAGACGGCCCUACGGGUUGUAAACUGCUUUUGUACUGGAAUAAACCUUCGUAUGUAUACGAAGCUGAAUGUACAGUAAGAAUAAGGAUCGGCUAACUCCGUG